Pelobates cultripes (western spadefoot toad) is the source of this 237-nucleotide non-coding RNA. The record is from the annotation of a GenBank genome assembly. Lineage: Eukaryota; Metazoa; Chordata; Amphibia; Anura; Pelobatidae.
GGCCUUUCAUGGGUCUAAAGAGAGAACAGCAUAAACAAAAGGGUUACAUUUUGCCCUCACGUAGUCAUCUCCGCUUACAUCUUCCCCUGUAUUUUAUUUAACCCCUAUUUUGGGCAAUUUGUCCCCCUAUUGCACCAAGCUGCAAAAUAUUUUGUUGUUUAUAAAAAACAAAAAAUCCCAAUAAUCACAUAAACAUAAUUACGUGACUGCUUGUACAUAGUAUUUGCAAACAGCACA